AUACGGAAGGUCCGGGCGUUAUCCGGAUUUAUUGGGUUUAAAGGGAGCGCAGACGGCCUGUUAAGCGUGCAGUGAAAUGUGGGUGCUCAACAUCUGCACUGCUGCGUGAACUGGCGGGGUUGUGUUGUUUGGAGGUGCUCCGCAUUCGUGGUGUAGCGGUGGAAUGCUUAGAUAUCACGAGGAACCCCGAUUGCGAAGGCAGCGCACCGUUGGCACACUGACGUUGAGGCUCGAAGGUGCGGGUAUCGAACAGGAUUAGAUACCCUGGUAGUCCGCACGGUAAACGAUGGAUGCCCGCUGUCGGCGAUACACUGCCGGCGGCCAAGCGAAAGCGUUAAGCAUCCCACCUGGGGAGUACGCCGGCAACGGUGAAACUCAAAGGAAUUGACGGGG
Molecule: ribosomal RNA, 393 nt
Filed under: uncultured bacterium
Lineage: Bacteria
Description: partial 16S ribosomal RNA
Rfam family: Bacterial small subunit ribosomal RNA
Source: RNAcentral